Molecule: ribosomal RNA, 468 nt
Filed under: uncultured bacterium
Lineage: Bacteria
Description: partial 16S ribosomal RNA
Rfam family: Bacterial small subunit ribosomal RNA
Source: RNAcentral
GACGAACGCUGGCGGCGUGCUUAACACAUGCGAGUCGAACGGAAAGGCCCUGCUUUUGUGGGGUGCUCGAGUGGCGAACGGGUGAGUAACACGUGAGUAACCUGCCCUUGACUUUGGGAUAACUUCAGGAAACUGGGGCUAAUACCGGAUAAGAGCUCCUGCUGCAUGGUGGGGGUUGGAAAGUUUCGGCGGUUGGGGAUGGACUCGCGGCUUAUCAGCUUGUUGGUGGGGUAGUGGCUUACCAAGGCUUUGACGGGUAGCCGGCCUGAGAGGGUGACCGGCCACAUUGGGACUGAGAUACGGCCCAGACUCCUACGGGAGGCAGCAGUGGGGAAUAUUGCACAAUGGGCGGAAGCCUGAUGCAGCAACGCCGCGUGCGGGAUGACGGCCUUCGGGUUGUAAACCGCUUUCGCCUGUGACGAAGCGUGAGUGACGGUAAUGGGUAAAGAAGCACCGGCUAACUACGUG